CGUGGGUAACCUGCCCAAGAGAUCGGGAUAACACCUGGAAACAGAUGCUAAUACCGGAUAAUAACAGAUGAUGCCUAUCAACUGUUUAAAAGAUGGUUCUGCUAUCACUCUUGGAUGGACCUGCGGUGCAUUAGCUAGUUGGUAGGGUAACGGCCUACCAAGGCGAUGAUGCAUAGCCGAGUUGAGAGACUGAUCGGCCACAUUGGGACUGAGACACGGCCCAAACUCCUACGGGAGGCAGCAGGC
This 246-nucleotide ribosomal RNA is filed under the name uncultured Lactobacillus sp. RNAcentral describes it as "partial 16S ribosomal RNA". It matches the Rfam family "Bacterial small subunit ribosomal RNA", at positions 116 to 354 of the family's 1533-position model. Lineage: Bacteria; Bacillati; Bacillota; Bacilli; Lactobacillales; Lactobacillaceae. The record is from RNAcentral.